GUACUGUGUGUUCACUCGCAACGGAAAAGAGGAGCAGUGCGGCCUAGUCUUCGUUAAAGCCCAUUAUCCCUGCACGUUUGCAGUAACUGCCCCCAUUAUCUUAGCACGCCGCCACGCCUCAUCCUCCUCUUCCUAACAAAUCCCCAUUCUCACGCAUAGGGCCGGCUAGCUAUCGAUGUUUCUGGAUGGCGGCAGCAGCGACAAUUCACCGUGGAAACAUCGGGGGUGCUGCCACUGCAGUCGACAUGGUCUCCACUGACUUUGUCAGUCGCUUGGUCCGAGGCCUCCUACGAAAACAUCUUACCUCUGUCGUUCUAUGCUUUCAGCCGUCCAUGCAUUCUUAGGUUUCUCCUGUACGUUGGUUAUGACAAG
Non-coding RNA from Lolium perenne, 372 nucleotides. The record is from RefSeq and is a predicted model, not a curated record. NCBI's taxonomy places the organism in Eukaryota, Viridiplantae, Streptophyta, Magnoliopsida, Poales, Poaceae.